UCAGUUUUUAUGUAUUUUCCUCAUGGCUCAGAAAACCCAUGAUUUUUCACCGAAAAAAAUGACUAAUCUUUGCCGGAAAAUAGUUCAAGUCAAGAUUAGGUGGAAGAUAUUUGAUAAAGUUUCAAUCUUUAGGGAGUUUUUUCGUUUUAUUUGGGAAAGGAUUAUUGUUUGUUCAACUGGACGGAAACCGGUGAGGUACCGGCGUUUGUCUCGAAGAAGUUCAUCGUCUCCGGUGGCUAUGGAGGAAGUUGAAGGGUAUGGGGUAGGUGGUGGGGAAGAUGAUCCUUUAACUGCAACUUGUAGUGGGUAUGAUAGUGAUUCAGAUUUAGUUACUUUAAAGAUCAGUAUUUUUGGUGAUUGUCAGAUUGGUAAAACAAGUUUUGUGAUUAAGUAUGUAGGUGAUGAACAAGAAAAGAGGUGCUUGCAGACGAAGGGAUUGAACUUAAUGGAUAAAACAUUAGUUGUACGAGGUGCACGAAUUGCAUUUAGAAUAUGGGAUGUAGGAGGUGAUCAUAGCUCAUUUGAUCAGAUUCCAAUAGCUUGUAAAGAUUCUGUUGCCAUUCUCUUUAUGUUCGAUCUCACUAGCCGGAGUACAUUGAACAAUGUGAUAAGUUGGUAUACUGAAGCAAGAAAAUGGAAUCAGACUGCUAUUCCAAUACUAAUUGGGACCAAAUUUGAUGAUUUUGUUCAGCUUCCGCCAGACAUUCAAUGGUCUGUGGUGACACAGGCAAGGACAUAUGCAAAGGCAAUGAAAGCAACACUUUUUUUCUCAAGUUCAACACAUAACAUCAAUGUGAAUAAGAUCUUUAAGUUCAUAAUGGCAAAGCUCUUUAACUUGCCUUGGUCUGUCAAGAGGAAUCUUACUAUUGGUGAACCAAUUAUUGACUUCUAGUUCUUCUUACAUCAUGUUGUAUAUACAAGGGGGAGUAGUGAAUUCAUUAACAUGUAAUAUUUGCAUUUCCUUUUCACCUUUGUUAUUUGAAACGUAGCGG
RNAcentral lists this unclassified non-coding RNA (992 nucleotides) under Hevea brasiliensis (rubber tree). Lineage: Eukaryota; Viridiplantae; Streptophyta; Magnoliopsida; Malpighiales; Euphorbiaceae. The record is from RNAcentral.